GAUGAACGCUAGCGGCGGGCUUAAUACAUGCAAGUCGAGGGCAGCAUGGGUAGCAAUACCUGAUGGCGACCGGCAAACGGGUGCGGAACACGUACGCAACCUUCCCAUAACUGGUGAAUAGCCCUCCGAAAGGAGGAUUAAUACACCGUAACAUAAUAGAGUGGCAUCACUUUAUAUUAUAGGCUUCGGCCGGUUUUGGAUGGGCGUGCGCCUGAUUAGGUAGUUGGCGGGGUAACGCCCACCAAGCCUACGAUCAGUAACUGGUGUGAGAGCACGACCAGUCACACGGGCACUGAGACACGGGCCCGACUCCUACGGGAGGCAGCAGUAAGGAAUAUUGGUCAAUGGACGAAAGUCUGAACCAGCCAUGCCGCGUGGAGGAUGAAGGCCCUCUGGGUUGUAAACUUCUUUUAUCUGGGACGAAAAAUGGGAAUUCUUUCUCACUUGACGGUACCAGAGGAAUAAGCACCGGCUAACUCCGUGCCAGCAGCCG
This 493-nucleotide ribosomal RNA is filed under the name uncultured bacterium. Its description in RNAcentral is "bacterial SSU rRNA". It matches the Rfam family "Bacterial small subunit ribosomal RNA", at positions 28 to 517 of the family's 1533-position model. The record is from RNAcentral.